This 350-nucleotide ribosomal RNA is filed under the name uncultured Arthrobacter sp. RNAcentral describes it as "bacterial SSU rRNA". It matches the Rfam family "Bacterial small subunit ribosomal RNA", at positions 771 to 1119 of the family's 1533-position model. The record is from RNAcentral. Lineage: Bacteria; Bacillati; Actinomycetota; Actinomycetes; Micrococcales; Micrococcaceae.
AACAGGAUUAGAUACCCUGGUAGUCCAUGCCGUAAACGUUGGGCACUAGGUGUGGGGGACAUUCCACGUUUUCCGCGCCGUAGCUAACGCAUUAAGUGCCCCGCCUGGGGAGUACGGCCGCAAGGCUAAAACUCAAAGGAAUUGACGGGGGCCCGCACAAGCGGCGGAGCAUGCGGAUUAAUUCGAUGCAACGCGAAGAACCUUACCAAGGCUUGACAUGAACCGGAAUGAUGAAGAGAUGUGUCAGCCACUUGUGGCCGGUUUACAGGUGGUGCAUGGUUGUCGUCAGCUCGUGUUGUGAAAUGUUGGGUUAAGUCCCGCAACGAGCGCAACCCUUAUCCUUUGUUGCC